AGCGUUCUCAUCUUUAAACCUAUAGCCUGCAGGGGCAUGACUUAAACACACUCAGUAAGCUAAACUAACAGUCUCACACAUGCUAACUGUGCUAAGCUGUAGGCUUCCAGUGUGUCUGCAUUAACUGAGGAGGGAUGGCCUUUAUAGCAAGUCAUUCUAUCAACCUGUGGUAAUAUGAAACAUGCUGUUUUCUUUUACUUUUUAUCCAUCCUUGGUGCUACACAAUCAUUGUUGCAUUUUUAUUUCAAUCUUUGGUGUUCAAAAGAUGUGUGUGUGGUGUUUUGUAUUUUGUUUCUCUGCUUGGUGCUAAGUAGUUUUUACUGUGGUGCCUUUUCUGUCUUUAUCCUUAAUGCAAAACACUCACAGCUGGUUUUGUGGGGUUUUCUGUGAGCAAUGAGAGCAACUUCAUCGAAGCUCCAAAAAUCUUAGGCUUUCAUCGUCCUUUUAAAGGACUGAUUCUAGUAUGAGUUACUUCAACCACUUUUAUUUGGAACAGGCUUAUAUUAGAGACAUAUUUGUGUAUUUAUGUAUUACCUGUUUAAGUACAUCUUAUCAAGUUUUAGUUAGAAGUCUCCCUGUUUUCUGGUCUGCUCCUGUUUUAAUUUGAUGACAAUGCAAACUCAACCCUUCCUCCAUGUUUACCUGUUGUCUUUAUAAAUUCAGUUUAAUGUCCAUUUCCACAGCACUAAUUCCAUCAGUACAAUAACAGUCAUGUCAUACUCACCACUGUGCUACUCUCAGUUUCUAUUUUCAACAGAAAUAUUGUUUUCAAUCAAUGAUUCCAAACUAUUCUCUUUUACUUUGCCAUUUUUUCGUUCAGUGAUGUUGGGACCACUGUACUCCACCAUUGGAAUUUAUUCAUUUGUGGGACUUCAACUGAACUUUUAUUAGGAGACCGCAUGUUCUUUUGUAUUGUAAACAAAGGGAAGCCAUUGAACUCAGCAUUCCACAAUCCUGAGGGCCACUGAUCUCAGCAAUUCCAGCUACCAUUGGUCAGUCUGACCUGUGACCCGUGAUGUCACCAGGUCAAUUAAAAGGGGUCAGCGGCCACUCUUUUUCUGCUCUUCUCUCCUUGCCUGCACCUCGGGGAGGUCUGUGUUAUGCAGACCUACCAACGAAGAACAAAGGAUUGCGGCCACAACACGAGGGCCUGCCUUUGCCUUAAGAUUUAUGGUUAGCUCACAGCUAAUCAAACUCUUCUUCAGCAGCAGACAGUGGCUGCUGUCUCCCUCUUUAUGUGGCCUGCUAACAGCAAACACACUGCAGAACUGAACUCUCUCUCUUACAUCAGCGAUGCAAGGGGCUGCGUAAGAUUCCUGCAACAAUAGUUAGCGUAGACAGUUGCCACACACAGUCUGCCAGCUAACUUUAAGAACUGACUUUGAGGAGAACAACAGACUGAGCAACCAGUUCCUCAAUCUACACAAAUGGACUGCACAGCAAGGACUUUCUUCAAUCGUAACCAACAUUCUUCCCUGCCUGGCUUAUCCAACGGGACCGCCAGAUAAUCACAGCAACUUCUUCCUUUACAGGCUGUGUGGAUGCUGACGAGGUGGGCCACCAACAGAGUGGAAGGAGGAGGAGAUGAAGAGGAAGGCUGUCUCCACCUGACCAACCACAAAUAUACCCUACAGGACCAGGAAGAAUACCCCAUUCUGAUGCAAGGUUCCCGGGCUCACCUGACUGAUGCCUGCUCACUCAGUCAAUCAGAGGUGAGGAAGCCAGGCUGAUUCAGUGGGUGUUGAACAUGAGGAGAAAGAGGUGGACUCCCUCUGGCACUUCCACCUCUCGCCUCACUCUGCAGCGAGCACUUUGAGGAGGAUCAGCUCAUCACAGGUAUCCACACGGUGAAAACUGAAUGACCACAUAAGGAAAACCUGAUGGAUUGAGCAGCGUGCGUUUGGUGCCAUCCAUCUGGUUGUGGAGAAGAGAGACGAUAUGGACAUCAUCCUCCGUUCUCAAAAGACUUAUGAAGAUGAUGCUACAAUCAACUUACAGUUCAGGUUUUCUGAAUUAAAGACAGACCCACAGUGGAAGCUUAUGUGAAUCAUUGAAGGACCUCUCCAACUUAGUUACUUCUUUCCUGUAUAGGAUCUUCUUUUUGCGCUAUAGCUGAUAGUCAUUGCAUAUUUUUACAAAUACAGUUUAAAGAACUGGCAGGCUGGAGUUCAAGGAUGAAACAAUCCCAGUGCACUAGGUCACACAAGUGAAAAGAACUUUCCAGUUUGAGAUUAAUGGGUUCACCUGGGAGCAUAAUAUCUCCUGUAAUAGAUGUGUACUAUAAAUCUUGACUCUUAUAUGAUAAUAUCCUGUGGAAAUAUCCUUUGUCAGUAUAUUAAAGCUGAGUUAUAAUAGUUGUAUUAAUAGCUGCGUAGAAACUAUAUUUAGUGGAAGAAUGCGAUAAAUAUGAGCCAUUGGGAAUGUUUUUUGUCAUCAGGUUGAAUAAUUUAAAAUAAAAUAGAAAUGAGUACAUUUUCUAUAAACUGACCACCCUUACCUGGUUUUGUAGAUUUGCCACAUACCUUGUUCAAUAUUUCAAAUGUAACAGGAGACUUUGGUGAAUUGUUUUGUGGUUCAGUAUAUUUGAUACGCACAUAUGAUAAGUCAGAAAAUCAAACUAUAUAUCUCUCUUCUGAUUCUUGGUUGUUAAUGUUAAGUGACAACUUAUUCACAUUUGUGUAUAAAUAAUAUUCACAUUAUUACACGUUAUUAUGUAUGCAAGAAGUAUAAGACGACAUUAAAUAUGGCCUUUUAAUGAAUAAUCUACAUUCUGACAAACAAAAAUGCCAUUAAUGUCUUUCUGUGAUUUGAUUAUUGUACAUAUUGAUAUUAAACUUAGUUCCAGAACUAUACCAUAGGAGAAAUCAACUUACUUAGAGCAACAAUUUAAUAAAUUACUUUAUUGCAUAUUAAAAAUAGCAGUAAAAAUAUUUUAGGAUCUAUUCAUACACAGAGCUGGACCAAGGUCAAGGUGUGCAAAUUUACAUACUGAAAUGAGGUAAUAGGCUUUAAGUGCUACAUCACAAAUAGUAAUAAGAAUCAAUAAAUAAAAAUAUCUGACAUGAUAAACACACAGUACAUAGUAACAUUACUUUUAUAUGUAAUGAGUAGUUUAAAGAGCCAGAGCUGCAGUCCAUAUAAGUACUGGAGGCUGGGGAGGAAAGGGAGAAGACAUUAGGAAGGAUUUUCAAACAACACUAAAAUCUAUCAGCCAUCACAUAAAUUAUGACAGACUUGGCCAGGUGAUGGGCUUAACAAAACAAAGAAAUUCUGUAAAGGUCGACUUCAACAAUGGAGAAACUGUCAGGCAUGGACACUUCACCGUUGUUGGAGUUGGGCUUUAGGGCACUAGGCAGUACUGUGUAAAAAUACUGUUCACUGUAGGGAUGAAAUGAACUUCAUCACACAAAAAUUGCCCAGGAGUGCCAAACCUUAUGAUGGUGAUGUACAAAGCUGCCACUUAAAAAAAAUGAAGAAAUAUUGCCAUAGCGCUGUUCACUGUCUUCCCCGGACUGGCAGCAGCUGUUCACCUGCAUGGCUGGGUGAGGCAGGUAAUGCAGUGUGGAGGGCAGUGAUGACAUGCAGGUGCUGCAGGGCCGAGCUGGAUGCUGGUGACCUCCUCAGGUCAUUCAACUGCAAUGGAUGAGGAGGACAUCCGGUACAGCUCGUACUGGUAGGGACUGGUCAGAGAAGGGUCUUCACCUCAGAACAACCCAGAUAUCAUCCACACCAAGGUUGGUCAUCAUGGUCUCCACAGCUAUCUGUGCCCCACGCUGGACUGCUGAUCCAGACUGGCUGUGGAUGGAAAAUACAUUGCAAUAGUGACUGCUGUAUCCUGAUGUAGUGUAGAGUCAAAAAGUAAGAGUUAGAAAACCCUGACUUGCUAGCUACCAUAUGUAGCGGCUUAUAGCCCUGAAAAGAGACCCCCUGGGCUAGUGGCUAAUGUAACAAGUUGUCUAGGAAAGUUAGGUUGAUAAGCGAUUGAAAUGCUUGUGUUUACCACAGAAAUUAUUCUGCCAUCGCUGUUGUCGCUAGCAUUGUAAAUUAGUGAGCAACCAGCAGUAAACUUGGCUAAAGUUAGCUAAGUUAACGUUACUUUGCUAGCGUUAGCUUAGGUUGUUAGCAAGCUAACUUUACCCAGGCCUAUCUAGCAUUAGCUUGUAAUACCUCAGCAUGAGGAUGUAGAUAGACACAAAAUGCCAACAACAGCCCUACAGUAAUAAACUAAUGUCUGAACUCUAGGUUGAACAUAGGGACGUUAUCUGAAGUAGAAAGCAACUUACCCU
This is a long non-coding RNA of Siniperca chuatsi (mandarin fish), 4286 nucleotides long. RefSeq lists it as uncharacterized. NCBI's taxonomy places the organism in Eukaryota, Metazoa, Chordata, Actinopteri, Centrarchiformes, Sinipercidae. The record is from RefSeq and is a predicted model, not a curated record. The transcript has 5 exons.